ACACUAACUGCACUCUCACUGUGUUAAUACCACACACUAACUGCACUCUCACUUAAAAGUUCAUCACAUUUAAUUCUGAUCAUCUGCUUUAAAUAAAGUGAUCGUUUCACACGUGAACAGAAGAGGGAUUUGGCUAAAUGAGUGUGGAUGACAUCACACAACACAUCUGGAUGACAUCACAAGACACGUCUGGAUGACAUCACACGACUCGUCUGGAUGACAUCACUCGACACAUCUGGAUGACAUCACACUACACGUCUGGAUGACAUCACACGACACGUCUGGAUGACAUCACAUGACACGUCUGGAUGACAUCACUCGACACAUCUGGAUGACAUCACACAGCGUGUUUCCAGUGUGAGGAGAAGAACAGGAAGUGUUUCCACAGUAACAGUAACAGUAAAAGGCUAAUGGAAGUGGAAACAGAAAUGAAACAUGACAUGAGGGGUUUUUUAAACCCCUGGUAAAGGCAGAGCUUUAGUGUAAAUAGAUUCAGCCAAUUCCAGAAGCUCCACGUUUCCCAAAGGAGAACAAAUCUGAGCUUUACAGAAACAAUCGAUGGAGAGUGAACGUUUUGUCAAUUUUCACUCAUCCGAGUUUGUUAAGCUGUUUUGCUCAUGGAGUCGAUCUCAAUGACGUUACCGCUGCAUACUACUGUAUCAUCAUCUUCAUCAUCAUCAUCAUCAUCAUCAUCAUCAUCAUCAUCACCACCAUCAUCACCGUCGUCGUCGUUUCAGCAAUACAGAUGCACCAUGACACAGUGUUCAUUCAGCAAGAGAUUACUAACACAAACGGGUUUUGUGUAACACACACACAGUCACACACUCACGGAGAGCUGUUGAGUUCGAGAGGACACACUCGGUGUGAGGACGCUGACGUGCAGGUGGAUCACGGCCACGAGUCACGACCUAAACACCAAUGUGCCUGGUGUCACACAAUUACUGACUGAACGACACACCAGGAGGAAGCCUUACUGAGGACGCCGCACGCCGAGGAUGCUGCACAUGGAGGAGGUUGCACUGAGGACGCGUCACACUGAGGACGCCACGCAGAGGACGAUACACUGAGGACGACACACAGAGGACGAUGCACAAUAAGGACGAUGCACUGAGGUCCACACACACGGAGGAUGCCACACUAAGAACCACACACUGAUGAUGAUGCACUGAGAACCACACACUAAGGACUACGCACACGGAGGACUACGCACACGGAGGACUACGCACACGGAGGACUACGCACACGGAGGACUACGCACACGGAGGACUAUGCACACGGAGGACUACGCACACGGAGGACGAAUCACAUGGAGGACGCCACCCCAAGGACCACGCACACUAAAGACGCCACAAUGAGGACGACGCACUGAGAACUACGCAACGAGGCCCAUGCGCACGAACUACUGUACACACACGGAGGACGACGCAGUGCAGGAGGGAACCAGUGACAUACAGAAGGAGUCGUAACACACACCACAAGCUCCUUAAGAAGGACCUCAGCGAUUACAGGAACCCUGUCUAGGAGGUUCCACGUCAUCCGGUGUAACUUUAAAUGGCUUAAAAAUAAACUGUGAUCUUUAGUCACUUUAUAAAGUGGUUUAUUGUUUGAAGAUCGGUGUUCUUAUUAAAGGUUAUUUUAGGACACACACACACACACACACACAC
Long non-coding RNA from Tachysurus fulvidraco (yellow catfish), 1664 nucleotides. RefSeq lists it as uncharacterized. Lineage: Eukaryota; Metazoa; Chordata; Actinopteri; Siluriformes; Bagridae. The transcript is spliced from 3 exons. The record is from RefSeq and is a predicted model, not a curated record.